AGAGUUUGAUCCUGGCUCAGAUUGAACGCUGGCGGCAUGCUUUACACAUGCAAGUCGAACGGCAGCACGGGGGCAACCCUGGUGGCGAGUGGCGAACGGGUGAGUAAUGCAUCGGAACGUAUCCUUGAGUGGGGGAUAACGCAGCGAAAGUUGUGCUAAUACCGCAUAAGCUCUGAGGAGGAAAGCGGGGGACCGAAAGGCCUCGCGCUGAAGGAGCGGCCGAUGUCCGAUUAGCUAGUUGGUGAGGUAAAGGCUUA
RNAcentral lists this ribosomal RNA (257 nucleotides) under uncultured prokaryote. RNAcentral describes it as "partial 16S ribosomal RNA". It matches the Rfam family "Bacterial small subunit ribosomal RNA", at positions 8 to 267 of the family's 1533-position model. The record is from RNAcentral.